UUGGAAUUGAAGGAGCAGAGACUCACACAGGGAAGGAGAAAGAGAGAGAAUAAAAGACAAUAUAAUAAGAAGUUUAAGAAACAUUAACCUGAUUGAUGUCAAAACAAGAUGUUUAAUAGAGAGAGAAAGGACAAGGAUUUUGAAAGAUCGGCUGGUAGUCUAAGUUUAACAGAGAGGAAGGACAAGGAUUUUGGAGCUAUUUAUACUUUAUGUAAAAUCGCUGACUCGAACUAACUUUUUAUCAACUUUAUCGAAUUUGCACAAGUCAAGUCCGAUUUUACUGGUUUUUAAUUUUGUUGUUUGAUUUUGCAAGUAGAUACAAAUUAACUUAUAAAAUCAUACGAUCUUAUGAUUUGACAACAAUAAAAAUAUUAUUGAGCAUCUUCAGAAUGGUUAGUCGCUGCUUCUAAAGGAAUGGUAGUGAUUCUCUACCACCACCACUAUCACAAUUAUUAUUGUUAUUGUUGUAGUUUAAGUUGGAAUGCUGAAUGUUUUUAUCUUUAUUUUUAUUGUUUUUGGUUAUUGUAUAUAAUUUAUAAUUGGAGCUGUUUAAUAAUGAUGUUGACCUUGUUUAUGUUUGUUUGUUUAUCUUCGCAUACUUUUUAAUUUGUUUCUUAUGCUUGUGUCUUUGAGUUAUAAAAUAUGUCAAGGGUGUAAAAUUAGACUGGCAUUAGCACCUAAUGUUUAAGCAAGCUUCACUGUUAUGUCCACAGGGGUGUGUAACCAUGCAUUUCACUUUCACUGCAUCAGCCGAUGGCUCAAGACUCGUCAAGUGUGCCCAUUGGAUAAUAGUGAGUGGGAGUUUCAGAAGUAUGGCCACUAGAACGUUUGGAGCACCAUUCAUGCUUGUGUUCAAUGGUGUCAAGAAGAAUACCUGGAUUCCUGACUUCUAAGCGCUUUACCUCAUGUUUGUUCGACUUAUACUCUUAUUUUUUUUAAUUAAAAUUCACAAUUUCACACAUACUGGGCGCAAUUUUUAAUAGUAUCAAUCAAAAAGUCAGUCUGUUAGGGUGGAUGCAAGAUUUUUUUUAUUUUUUUUUUUGUUUCCCUCUUGGAUAAAACUGUUUGACGGGUAUGCCUUUCUUGUUUGUUGAUGUCUCGCAUGCAUGUUCAUGGGAAAGUCUUCUUGAUGUACUAAAUAGAUUAAUUCAUGCUAUUGCAGCUGAUCAUCGAUUCUGGUUC
This is a long non-coding RNA of Populus euphratica (Euphrates poplar), 1182 nucleotides long. RefSeq lists it as uncharacterized. NCBI's taxonomy places the organism in Eukaryota, Viridiplantae, Streptophyta, Magnoliopsida, Malpighiales, Salicaceae. The record is from RefSeq and is a predicted model, not a curated record. The transcript is spliced from 3 exons.